CGCGUAGGCGGCCUGUUAAGUCUGGAGUGAAAGUCCUGCUUUCAAGGUGGGAAUUGCUUUGGAAACUGGCGGGCUGGAGUGCAGGAGAGGUUAGCGGAAUUCCCGGUGUAGCGGUGAAAUGCGUAGAGAUCGGGAGGAACACCAGUGGCGAAGGCGGCUAACUGGACUGUAACUGACGCUGAAGCGCGAAAGUGUGGGGAGCAAACAGGAUUAGAUACCCUGGUAGUCCACACUGUAAACGAUGAAUGCUAGGUGUAGGGGGUAUCGACCCCUUCUGUGCCGGAGUUAACACAAUAAGCAUUCCGCCUGGGGAGUACGGCCGCAAGGUUGAA
This 332-nucleotide ribosomal RNA is filed under the name uncultured bacterium. RNAcentral describes it as "bacterial SSU rRNA". It matches the Rfam family "Bacterial small subunit ribosomal RNA", at positions 568 to 898 of the family's 1533-position model. The record is from RNAcentral.